Non-coding RNA from Xylaria telfairii, 75 nucleotides. The record is from the annotation of a GenBank genome assembly. Lineage: Eukaryota; Fungi; Ascomycota; Sordariomycetes; Xylariales; Xylariaceae.
GCCCGGUUAGCUCAAUCGGUAGAGCGUGAGACUCUUAAUCUCAAGGUUGCGGGUGAGUAGCCUCGAAUUCGGGCA